GAUGAAGAACGUAGCGAAAUGCGAUAAGUAAUGUGAAUUGCAGAAUUCAGUGAAUCAUCGAAUCUUUGAACGCACCUUGCGCUCCUUGGUAUUCCGAGGAGCAUGCCUGUUUGAGUGUCAUUAAAUUCUCAAUCUCUCUUAACUUUGUUUAGAAGAUUGGAUGUGGGGGAUUUUGUGAGCACAAUGUUGUGUUCACUCCCCUGAAAUAUAUUAGCUGGAAUGCCUUUGCAAACCAACUAUCAGUUUGAUAAUUAUCAGUACUGGCGUUGCUGCAUAAAGGGAAUCUGCUUUCGAAUUGUCCUUAUAGGACAAAAUGAAUGACUUUGACCUCAAAUCAGGUAGGACUACCCGCUGAACUUAAGCAUAUCAAUAAGCGGAGGA
This 381-nucleotide unclassified non-coding RNA is filed under the name soil metagenome. RNAcentral describes it as "partial contains 5.8S ribosomal RNA, internal transcribed spacer 2, and large subunit ribosomal RNA". The stretch from base 1 to 120 matches the Rfam family "5.8S ribosomal RNA", at positions 35 to 154 of the family's 154-position model. The record is from RNAcentral.